Molecule: ribosomal RNA, 534 nt
Filed under: uncultured bacterium
Lineage: Bacteria
Description: bacterial SSU rRNA
Rfam family: Bacterial small subunit ribosomal RNA
Source: RNAcentral
CUUAACACAUGCAAGUCGAGCGGUAACAUUUCUAGCUUGCUAGAAGAUGACGAGCGGCGGACGGGUGAGUAACGCGUAGGAAUCUGCCUAGUAGUGGGGGACAACAUGUGGAAACGCAUGCUAAUACCGCAUACGCCCUACGGGGGAAAGGAGGGGAUCUUCGGACCUUUCGCUAUUAGAUGAGCCUGCGUGAGAUUAGCUAGUUGGUGGGGUAAAGGCCUACCAAGGCGACGAUCUCUAGCUGGUCUGAGAGGAUGAUCAGCCACACUGGGACUGAGACACGGCCCAGACUCCUACGGGAGGCAGCAGUGGGGAAUAUUGGACAAUGGGCGCAAGCCUGAUCCAGCCAUGCCGCGUGUGUGAAGAAGGCCUCAGGGUUGUAAAGCACUUUCAGGAGUGAGGAAGGGCGUAUAGUUAAUACCUGUAUGUUUUGACGUUAACUCCAGAAGAAGCACCGGCUAACUCUGUGCCAGCAGCCGCGGUAAUACAGAGGGUGCGAGCGUUAAUCGGAAUUACUGGGCGUAAAGCGCGCGU